Molecule: non-coding RNA, 148 nt
Organism: Gorilla gorilla gorilla (western lowland gorilla)
Lineage: Eukaryota; Metazoa; Chordata; Mammalia; Primates; Hominidae
Rfam family: Metazoan signal recognition particle RNA
About the family: The signal recognition particle (SRP) is a universally conserved ribonucleoprotein. It is involved in the co-translational targeting of proteins to membranes.
Source: Rfam
GCCGGGUGUGGUGGCGCACGCCUGUAAUCCCAGCUACUCGGGAGGCUGAGGUGGGAGAAUCGCUUGAGCCCAGGAGGUUGAGGCUGCAGGGAGUCGAUAUCACGCCACUACACUCCAGCCUGGGUGACAAAGCAAGACCCUGUCUCAG